GCACACUCCAUUGCUAAACGCGUUCUUGUCUACAAACGCUAGCGGGUAACCUAGAAACAAAGGUCUUCACAUAGAGAGAAAGAGUGGGAGAAGAAAUCAUAGCGGACAGAGAUAGAGAUGAGCUUCCUGUUGUUUUUCUCGUCGAUUGCUCCACAAUUUUUUUUCUGAUCACUUGUUCUCUCUUUAGUCUAUCUGCUAAUUCCUUCAAUCUUGAGGUACGCUCUUUAUUGUUUCAAGAUUUGGAAAGAAGGAAAACAAAGAACAGAGGGAACGGUUAUGCUGGAUCUUCGGUCGUUUUUCGUUUCAGCCGCUCAACGACAAUCCUAUGUUUGGUCCUUCUUCUUCAACUGGUGGUUGGCAUGGCCCUAGGUUGAAAAGUCAUCUUCAGGAAUUGAUGGGUGAAGAACAGGUUUUGAUCUUAACUCUGUGAAGCCUCAUGAGUACAAACUCAUUAUGAAUUGUGGUUGCAGGAGGUGAUAGUGCAGUAGGUUGGGUUUUGGGACUUCUCGGUACAGGCAACGACUUUUCAAGAACUUUCGGGUUGGGCUGGUUCAAUCCCUAUGUACUGGAAAUCCGUAGUCAAGAAGACUCUCGACAAUGCCUGCACAGGCAAACUCUGUCGUUUGAACAGG
Impatiens glandulifera is the source of this 632-nucleotide long non-coding RNA. RefSeq lists it as uncharacterized. NCBI's taxonomy places the organism in Eukaryota, Viridiplantae, Streptophyta, Magnoliopsida, Ericales, Balsaminaceae. The transcript has 6 exons. The record is from RefSeq and is a predicted model, not a curated record.